RNAcentral lists this transfer-messenger RNA (308 nucleotides) under Alphaproteobacteria bacterium MarineAlpha5_Bin7. RNAcentral describes it as "transfer-messenger RNA, SsrA". The stretch from base 2 to 265 matches the Rfam family "Alphaproteobacteria transfer-messenger RNA". From Rfam's summary of the family: Bacterial tmRNA, also known as 10Sa RNA or SsrA, is named for its dual tRNA and mRNA-like properties. The record is from RNAcentral. Lineage: Bacteria; Pseudomonadati; Pseudomonadota; Alphaproteobacteria.
UUUAUAAUAGUAAUGUUGGUUUCCAACUAUAGCAAUAAAUGCUUUAUGUAAUAAGUUGCACGGACCCGGGGGCGGUACCCGGCGCCUCCACCAUCAAAAUUAUGGGGGCGAAAUAGGCUCGACGUAUAACAAAAGAUAAAGACUUUGCUCGGUAUUGUACCACCGUUAUCGGGCUGAUUUUAUAAACGCUAACGAAAAUUUAGCACUCGCUGCCUAGUUUCUAGGAUAGCGCGGUUUGGGGCACCGGGCAACAGAACGCCCCAUAAACUUUUCAAGAUUCAUAAGCGUUCUCUCGUUCUUUCGAUGGU